CUGAAUUUGUCUAUCCCCAAUUUGCAAAUUCCAUUUGGGUUUAAUUCUCCAAUAUAAUCGUGCAUUUUCUGGUGUAGAAGACCAGUAUAGUUGUUUCUUCAAGGCCUGAGAAGACUGAAGACUGCAACUGAAGAAGAUAAGGCCAACUAUUGUUUGCUCUGCUCCUGCUUGCUGAUAAUGGAGAUGAUGAUUGUGACAGUGCUACUGAGGCUGCUUUAUCUUCUACUCCAGCCUUAUAAGCAUCAGUUACAAGUGGGUAGUUGGCUGUUUGUGGCUUUAUCAUCUGUUUCUUUUGUAUUUGAUAUUUUCUUUUGGGUGUUUUCAGUUUAUGUACUAGUGUUCUAGCUCUUUAUUAUUAAUAAUAAGACAUAUAAGUGUUUUAUUGAUAUGGUCAUGUUUCGGCUCAGAUUUCAGAUACAGUUUAUGAUUUAUGCUUACUUUCCUGUUUGAGAAGAAUUAUUACCAGAAUAAAGGAUUUUAGAUUCGGGAAUGGAAAUGAGAAGAAUUUAUAUAGAUUUGUUCAUUCUAGUUCAAUUCCUUUUCACUAACGUCAACUUUAUGGUUGCGUAGUAAAUAGAAAAAUCAUAGUGUGGGAACUAGCAUCUAAUGAGCUGUUGUGACUUGAGAUCAUUGAAGUAUUUUCCAAAGGGAUUAAGGGAAAAAGGACAGGUUCAAAGUCUGAGGAGGCUUAUCCCCAGAAGUGGAUACAGAGCACCUUGGAACAUUAUACAGAUUUGAAGCCAGCUGGAUUCCAAGAGCCUCCCCUGCUCUGAAUCUCAUGUAUUAUUCACUUCUCAAGUGGAUAUCUGAAUACUUAUUCAUGUAUCUUUUAGAGGGAUAAAAAACAUUGGUACCACAAUUUCGGAUUAUCAAGAUUGAACGAUGGUGAAUAAUAAUUACAAUGUAUAGGUGAAAAAGGAAUAAAUAAAUAAAUAGGC
RNAcentral lists this long non-coding RNA (938 nucleotides) under Manihot esculenta (cassava). RNAcentral describes it as "long non-coding RNA (MESC_LNC010619)". The record is from RNAcentral. Lineage: Eukaryota; Viridiplantae; Streptophyta; Magnoliopsida; Malpighiales; Euphorbiaceae.